Molecule: ribosomal RNA, 376 nt
Filed under: uncultured bacterium
Lineage: Bacteria
Description: bacterial SSU rRNA
Rfam family: Bacterial small subunit ribosomal RNA
Source: RNAcentral
UACGUAGGGUGCGAGCGUUAAUCGGAAUUACUGGGCGUAAAGCGUGCGCAGGCGGUUGUGUAAGACAGGCGUGAAAUCCCCGGGCUCAACCUGGGAACUGCGCUUGUGACUGCACGGCUAGAGUACGGCAGAGGGGGGUGGAAUUCCACGUGUAGCAGUGAAAUGCGUAGAGAUGUGGAGGAACACCGAUGGCGAAGGCAGCCCCCUGGGCCGAUACUGACGCUCAUGCACGAAAGCGUGGGUAGCAAACAGGAUUAGAUACCCUGGUAGUCCACGCCCUAAACGAUGUCAACUAGGUGUUGGGUGGGUAAAACCAUUUAGUACCGUAGCUAACGCGUGAAGUUGACCGCCUGGGGAGUACGGCCGCAAGGUUAAA